UACGAAGGGGGCUAGCGUUGCUCGGAAUCACUGGGCGUAAAGCGCACGUAGGCGGAUUGUUAAGUCGCGUGUGAAAUCCCUUGGCUCAACCAAGGAAGUGCGCGCGAAACUGGCGAGCUCGAGUGCCGGAGAGGGUCGCGGAAUUCCCGGUGUAGAGGUGAAAUUCGUAGAUAUCGGGAGGAACACCAGUGGCGAAGGCGGCGACCUGGACGGACACUGACGCUGAGACGCGAAAGCGUGGGUAGCAAACAGG
This 253-nucleotide ribosomal RNA is filed under the name uncultured bacterium. Its description in RNAcentral is "partial 16S ribosomal RNA". It matches the Rfam family "Bacterial small subunit ribosomal RNA", at positions 524 to 776 of the family's 1533-position model. The record is from RNAcentral.